Molecule: ribosomal RNA, 497 nt
Filed under: uncultured bacterium
Lineage: Bacteria
Description: partial 16S ribosomal RNA
Rfam family: Bacterial small subunit ribosomal RNA
Source: RNAcentral
GAUGAACGCUGGCGGCGUGCCUAAUACAUGCAAGUCGAGCGAACAGACGAGGAGCUUGCUCCUCUGACGUUAGCGGCGGACGGGUGAGUACCACGUGGAUAACCUACCUAUAAGACUGGGAUAACUUCGGGAAACCGGACCUAAUACCGGAUAAUAUAUUGAACCGCAUGGUUCAUUAGUGAAAGACGGUUUUGCUGUCACUUAUAGAUGGAUCCGCGCCGCAUUAGCUAGUUGGUAAGGUAACGGCUUACCAAGGCAACGAUGCGUAGCCGACCUGAGAGGGUGAUCGGCCACACUGGAACUGAGACACGGUCCAGACUCCUACGGGAGGCAGCAGUAGGGAAUCUUCCGCAAUGGGCGAAAGCCUGACGGAGCAACGCCGCGUGAGUGAUGAAGGUCUUCGGAUCGUAAAACUCUGUUAUUAGGGAAGAACAAAUGUGUAAGUAACUAUGCACGUCUUGACGGUACCUAAUCAGAAAGCCACGGCUAACUACGUG